AGUAAAGCUACUACAACACUAUCCACUGAACCAGGUCAGGGUAGGAAUACAGCAGCCUUAGUGUGGCUCUAGUGUGUGUGGUAGCUUUUAUUAU
RNAcentral lists this signal recognition particle RNA (94 nucleotides) under Erysipelothrix sp. Its description in RNAcentral is "signal recognition particle sRNA small type". It matches the Rfam family "Bacterial small signal recognition particle RNA". From Rfam's summary of the family: The signal recognition particle (SRP) is a universally conserved ribonucleoprotein involved in the co-translational targeting of proteins to membranes. Archaeal SRP consists of a 7S RNA and homologues of the eukaryotic SRP19 and SRP54 proteins. In most bacteria, the SRP consists of a 4.5S RNA and the Ffh protein (a homologue of the eukaryotic SRP54 protein). The record is from RNAcentral. Lineage: Bacteria; Bacillati; Bacillota; Erysipelotrichia; Erysipelotrichales; Erysipelotrichaceae.